Echeneis naucrates (live sharksucker) is the source of this 107-nucleotide small nuclear RNA. Its record names the gene U1. It matches the Rfam family "U1 spliceosomal RNA". From Rfam's summary of the family: U1 is a small nuclear RNA (snRNA) component of the spliceosome (involved in pre-mRNA splicing). Its 5' end forms complementary base pairs with the 5' splice junction, thus defining the 5' donor site of an intron. There are significant differences in sequence and secondary structure between metazoan and yeast U1 snRNAs, the latter being much longer (568 nucleotides as compared to 164 nucleotides in human). The record is from Ensembl. Lineage: Eukaryota; Metazoa; Chordata; Actinopteri; Carangiformes; Echeneidae.
AGGACAGAUACCACGAUCAAGAAGGUGGUUCACCCAGGGCGAGGCUCAGCCAUUGCACUCUGAUUGUGCUGUCCACUGCGAAUUCCCCAAAUGUGGGAAUCUCGACU